This 253-nucleotide ribosomal RNA is filed under the name uncultured bacterium. Its description in RNAcentral is "partial 16S ribosomal RNA". It matches the Rfam family "Bacterial small subunit ribosomal RNA", at positions 524 to 776 of the family's 1533-position model. The record is from RNAcentral.
UACGAAGGGGGCUAGCGUUGUUCGGAAUGACUGGGCGUAAAGGGCUCGUAGGCGGCCAACUAAGUCAGACGUGAAAUCCCCAGGCUCAACCUGGGAACUGCGUCUGAUACUGGAUGGCUUGAAUCCGGGAGAGGGAUGCAGAAUUCCAGGUGUAGCGGUGAAAUGCGUAGAUAUCUGGAGGAAUACCGGUGGCGAAGGCGGCAUCCUGGACCGGCAUUGACGCUGAGGAGCGAAAGCUAGGGGAGCAAACGGG